GUUCUUGUAGCUUACAACAAAGCAUGACACUGAAGAUGUUAAGAUGGGCGUCUCACAAACCCCCAAGAACA
This 71-nucleotide transfer RNA is filed under the name Locustella castanea (Chestnut-backed bush-warbler). Its description in RNAcentral is "tRNA-Phe". Lineage: Eukaryota; Metazoa; Chordata; Aves; Passeriformes; Locustellidae. The record is from RNAcentral.